Molecule: long non-coding RNA, 324 nt
Organism: Triticum dicoccoides
Lineage: Eukaryota; Viridiplantae; Streptophyta; Magnoliopsida; Poales; Poaceae
Exons: 2
Source: RefSeq, a predicted model, not a curated record
GGGAUGAGAAUGAAGAGGAUGAUGUUGAGAACAUCAAGUUACCCAUUGUGGUGGAGGAGAUCAAUGAUUGACGUUCAUCAUGUGGAUGUUGAUCUUGCUAUUUUGGAGAUGAAUGUCAAAGUGAUCUUUCUCAUGUGAAGGCUACUUUUGCAUUUCUGUUAUGUUGGAACCUUUCAAGUCAAGAACUAUGAAUUGUCACUGCUAGCUUGGAGAUGAACCUCUCAUUUGUGUUAUGUUCAACUUGUCAAUUGACAUGGACUUGGAAUUGUCAUUGCAAGUUUGUAAUCGUGUCGUUCGAUGAUGAUAAGACCUUAUGUUUGUGGA